AAAAAAUCCCAAAAAGAAACAGCUGAAAGCUGGAAGGAAAACACUAUUUCAUUUAACUUUCUUCUGAAUUUUGAAGUCUUCUUUCAUCAUUAGAACAAUUUCUAAGGCCCUUUGAGGUGAAAAUGGUCUUCUGGGUUGAUUAUUUGGUGGAUUUACAGUUCCAUUAAAUUUUCUUUGGUAAUUUUAAGUUUGCAAUUUUGAAUCAAAUCUCUGGCUUAUUUGGGGUUGAAAAUGGCUUAAGUAUUCAUGUGAUUUUAGCAUCUGAGGUUUUCUCAAAGCUACUAGGAUUAUUUUGAGUUUAACUUGGUUCAUUAAAAGUUUGGUUUGAGUGUACUGCUGUGCUCACCCAUUUUUUCUUUUGUAAUCUCUAGGUACACCUUCAAAACUUGUC
RNAcentral lists this long non-coding RNA (391 nucleotides) under Nicotiana benthamiana. RNAcentral describes it as "long non-coding RNA (NBEN_LNC011765)". Lineage: Eukaryota; Viridiplantae; Streptophyta; Magnoliopsida; Solanales; Solanaceae. The record is from RNAcentral.